UACGUAGGGUGCGAGCGUUGUCCGGAAUUAUUGGGCGUAAAGAGCUUGUAGGCGGUUUGUCGCGUCUGCUGUGAAAAUCCGGGGCUCAACCCCGGACUUGCAGUGGGUACGGGCAGACUAGAGUGUGGUAGGGGAGACUGGAAUUCCUGGUGUAGCGGUGAAAUGCGCAGAUAUCAGGAGGAACACCGGUGGCGAAGGCGGGUCUCUGGGCAACAACUGACGCUGAGGAGCGAAAGCGUGGGGAGCGAACAGG
RNAcentral lists this ribosomal RNA (253 nucleotides) under uncultured bacterium. RNAcentral's name for it is "partial 16S ribosomal RNA". It matches the Rfam family "Bacterial small subunit ribosomal RNA", at positions 524 to 776 of the family's 1533-position model. The record is from RNAcentral.